Molecule: ribosomal RNA, 500 nt
Filed under: uncultured bacterium
Lineage: Bacteria
Description: partial 16S ribosomal RNA
Rfam family: Bacterial small subunit ribosomal RNA
Source: RNAcentral
AAUCAACGCUGGCGGCGUGCCUAACACAUGCAAGUCGAACGCGAAAGCCCCGCAAGGGGUAAGUAGAGUGGCAAACGGGUGAAUAACACGUGGGUGACCUGCCUUCGAGUGGGGGAUAACGUCCCGAAAGGGACGCUAAUACCGCAUGACAUCCUGCUUUUGAAAAAGCGGAGAUCAAAGCUGGGGAUCGCAAGACCUAGCGCUUGAAGAGGGGCCCGCGCCUGAUUAGCUAGUUGGUGAGGUAACGGCUCACCAAGGCGACGAUCAGUAUCCGGCCUGAGAGGGCGGACGGACACACUGGGACUGAGACACGGCCCAGACUCCUACGGGAGGCAGCAGUGGGGAAUUGUUCGCAAUGGGCGCAAGCCUGACGACGCAACGCCGCGUGGAGGACGAAGAUCUUCGGGUCGUAAACUCCUGUCGAGCGGGACGAACGCUUCGCGGAUGAAUAAGCCGCGGAAUUGACGGUACCGCUAAAGGAAGCCCCGGCUAACUCCGUG